This 757-nucleotide ribosomal RNA is filed under the name uncultured archaeon. RNAcentral's name for it is "bacterial SSU rRNA". It matches the Rfam family "Archaeal small subunit ribosomal RNA", at positions 39 to 774 of the family's 1478-position model. The record is from RNAcentral.
UGGGACUAAGCCAUGCAAGUCUAGGGGCCGAGGCCACGGUCGGUCCCGGCGCACGGCUGAGUAACACGUGGCCAACCUACCCUCGGGAGGGGGAUAACCCCGGGAAACUGGGGCUAAUCCCCCAUAGGCGCAGACUCCUGGAAUUGGGUCUGGCCGAAAGGUUGCAACGCCAUGCCCGUUGCAACCGCCCGAGGAUGGGGCUGCGCCCUAUCAGGUAGUUGGCGGGGUAACGGCCCGCCAAGCCGAUAACGGGUAGGGGCCGUGAGAGCGGGAGCCCCCAGAUGGGCACUGAGACAAGGGCCCAGGCUCUACGGAGCGCAGCAGGCGCGAAACCUCCGCAAUGCGGGAAACCGUGACGGGGUCACCCCGAGUGCCACCCGCUGAGGGUGGCUUUUCCCCGGUGUAAGAAGCCGGGGGAAUAAGCGGGGGGCAAGCCUGGUGUCAGCCGCCGCGGUAAUACCAGCCCCGCGAGUGGUCGGGAUGUUUACUGGGCCUAAAGCAUCCGUAGCCGGCCCGGGAAGUCCUCCUUGAAAUCCUCUCGCUCAACCCGAGGGCUGAGGAGGAUACUGCGGAGCUAGGGGGCGGGAGAGGCCUAGAGUACUCCCGGGGUAGGGGCGAAAUCUGUUAAUCCCGGGAGGACUACCAGUGGCGAAGGCGCUCGGCUGGAACGCGCCCUACGGUUAGGGAUGAAAGCUGGGGGAGCAAAGGGGAUUAGACACCCGCGUAGUCCCAGCUGUAAACGAUGCAGGCUAGGUGU